RNAcentral lists this long non-coding RNA (710 nucleotides) under Homo sapiens (human). RNAcentral describes it as "HSALNT0390771". The record is from RNAcentral. Lineage: Eukaryota; Metazoa; Chordata; Mammalia; Primates; Hominidae.
CUCUCAGGACCAACUGACCCAUGUUCAACUGCUGUUCACAAUAAUAAUCCUUUAAUAUCAUCAAGUAUCCAGGCAGUGUUUAACUUCUUCUGUUUGUCUCAUAAAUUGUUUUGUCUGUUUAUCUGAGUCAGGAUCCAAAUAAGGUCCUUAUAAUUGUGAUUGGUUUUGUAUCUUAAAACAUAAAGAAACUUAAAAAGAGCCGAGUUUUAAAACCACAAAAUCCAAAUUCAGGUCAGGUGACAUUUGUUUCAUUCUCAUUCAACAGAUAUUUAUCAAGGACUUCAAAUGCACCAGGCCUGUGCCCUACGCUGGGAUACAGUGAUGACCAAGAGCAUACCUAGAACCUGUGCCAUAGAGGGAAUCUGGUAUGGAACCAGAAAACGGGCACAGGAACCAAAUUUGAAUUUUCUCUGAAAUUCACAACCUUUCCCUGUUUAUGUAAUAAACCAUCCUUUUCUCACUGAUGUGAAAUGCUAUUUUUGUCAUAUAUUUAAUUAUCAUAUAUACACAGAUUUUUUUCUAGACUCCCUGUUGUACAUAUUCCCCUGGUCUAAUUGCCUAUUCCUAUACAUGUACCAUGCUGUUUUCAUGGUUGUUGCUUUAUAAUACAUUUGAUAGCUAGUAUUAUAUACAUAAUAUUAUAUGCUUAUAUUUCAAAUUUUUAUUUUGGCUAAUUUUAUCCUUCCAGUUAAACUUUAUUAUCAAGUUGC